Molecule: long non-coding RNA, 1600 nt
Organism: Anguilla rostrata (American eel)
Lineage: Eukaryota; Metazoa; Chordata; Actinopteri; Anguilliformes; Anguillidae
Exons: 3
Source: RefSeq, a predicted model, not a curated record
GCAUCAACAGUAUAUCAACAGCGAAUUAUUUUUCAUUUCAUUUGUAAGAAUUUAUUGCAUCUAUGUAGUAUAAAGUGUUAUACUUCAUUGUGGUCAUACAGACCUACAUAUUUGUAGCAUUAUAAAAACAUACUAUAAAUGCUAGAUUACUUAAUGCAAUGUGUACCUGUUCUGUUUGCAAACCCAACCCGUAACUAUGAGCUGGCAAAAUAAUAUUAUUUAUGCUACGCAGUUUUGAUCGUAAAACUAUUUGAUGAAAAUAUGCUUAUCAUUUCUUACUCAAGCACAUUAGAGUUGAAAUAAACAAUAUGAGGUUAAAGGGCAGACUGGCAGCUUUAAUUUGAGAGUAUUUACAAUUAUAUCAGGUGAUUUUUUUACCCCACGAUGGCCUGCUUUACUGGCAUUGACAUUUAUUUGGUCCUAAUGUUUGAGACAACAGCAACACACACCAAAUGCUAAUUCUAUACCUAGAAUCCAUGGUAGGCCUUUCGCUAGCCUCCUUAUGUAUGAGCUAAUGAUGCAACAACACACAGCUGGUCAAGAAACAGCAAUUGUCCAAAUACGUUUGCUCCCCUAAAAUGGAGGGACUAUACUAAAAAGGAAUGAAAUUCCUACACAGAUCACGCAAUAUGGAUGUAAAUACCCUGUGAUGCCAGGAAGGGAACUGAGGUGCAGCUGCCAAGGGGGUAUCACUACCCCUACACAUGGGUAUGGCCACAGCUGUGGCUCAUUGUAAUCAUAUCAGCUGUGGCCCAUUACCUAAUUAUGGGCUCUAUAAGAGACCUAGCUUCCAGGCCUAGGGAAGGAGUGUUUGGACAGUGUUUGGAAAAGCUGGGCUAUUCACAGUGUGGUGGGUUUGUGCCAGUAUUUGCAUGGUUUUAUGUUCCUUUUUCUUUGAAGCGCUUGGUUGUCAGAUUGGCUCUUUCUUCUUUUCUUUACGAUUUCUAAUGUUUUAAGUGUUUUUGAACCAGUGAAAGGUGAAAGAAACCAGGCACAAGUGAGAGAUUUGUGUUCUACACAGAAGAGAUCCAGGAUAUUGAACCAUACAUCACUUAUAGUGAAAAGACAAAUGUGAUCUAUAGUAGCUAAAGACGUCCAACCUCAGAAAGGAACAUUAAUUACAAGAAAGAAGAAUGGAUGUGAUGUCCCAGAAAUCUCAGCAUAAUUUUCCCACAUUAAAAAAAUCAUCAUCUACAACAGUAUUUGACUACUAUAUGAUGCUCAUCAGAUAGUGCCAGAUUAAUACUAGUGCAAGACUGAUGUUAAUUCAUAUGGGACUAUUUUUUCUAUUAUAAUGUUGGACUGUCAACAGCUACGAGCAUAUCCUAAUUUUUUUAAAGGAUGCUGUCAUUUUUUACAAGAUGAUACCAAAUAUAAAAUGAGAAUGUCGUUGAGAGAGUCGUUUGUGACGUCUAUUUUUUUCAUGAAGAAACUGCACAAUCAUAGAGGUCGAAGCAUGUUGAGGCAGUUCCAUAACUGGGGUUUUUAUUUUAUAGUUCACCAUAAAAUGAACUAUACAAAUUCAUUUUUUAAAAUGUACAUACUGUCCAAUGUGUGUUCUAAUAAAUGUAUGACCCAAAUAAAUGUGUUGCAUCACUAA